Molecule: ribosomal RNA, 473 nt
Filed under: uncultured bacterium
Lineage: Bacteria
Description: bacterial SSU rRNA
Rfam family: Bacterial small subunit ribosomal RNA
Source: RNAcentral
GAUGAACGCUGGCGGCGUGCUUAACACAUGCAAGUCGAACGAAGCACUCUAUUUGAUUUUCUUCGGAAAUGAAGAUUUUGUGACUGAGUGGCGGACGGGUGAGUAACGCGUGGGUAACCUGCCUCAUACAGGGGGAUAACAGUUGGAAACGACUGCUAAUACCGCAUAAGCGCACAGGAUCGCAUGAUCCGGUGUGAAAAACUCCGGUGGUAUGAGAUGGACCCGCGUCUGAUUAGCCAGUUGGCAGGGUAACGGCCUACCAAAGCGACGAUCAGUAGCCGACCUGAGAGGGUGACCGGCCACAUUGGGACUGAGACACGGCCCAAACUCCUACGGGAGGCAGCAGUGGGGAAUAUUGCAUAAUGGGGGAAACCCUGAUGCAGCGACGCCGCGUGAGCGAAGAAGUAUUUCGGUAUGUAAAGCUCUAUCAGCAGGGAAGAAGAAUGACGGUACCUGACUAAGAAGCACCGGCU